This 253-nucleotide ribosomal RNA is filed under the name uncultured bacterium. RNAcentral describes it as "partial 16S ribosomal RNA". It matches the Rfam family "Bacterial small subunit ribosomal RNA", at positions 524 to 776 of the family's 1533-position model. The record is from RNAcentral.
UACGUAGGUGGCAAGCGUUGUCCGGAAUUAUUGGGCGUAAAGAGCGUGUAGGCGGCCAUGUAGGUCCGUUGUGAAAACUCGAGGCUCAACCUCGAGACGCCGAUGGAAACCAUGUGGCUAGAGUCCGGAAGAGGAGAGUGGAAUUCCUGGUGUAGCGGUGAAAUGCGCAGAUAUCAGGAGGAACACCGGUGGCGAAGGCGGGUCUCUGGGCCGUAACUGACGCUGAGGAGCGAAAGCGUGGGGAGCGAACAGG